AGUGAACGUUGGUGGCGUGGAUUAGGCAUGCAAGUCGAGCGAGAACCGUAGCAAUACGGGGACAGCGGCGAAAGGGACAGUAAUGUGUAGGUACCUACCUCCGGGUUCGGGAUAGCCGCGGGAAACUGCAGGUAAUACCGAAUAACGUCUCCGGACCAAAGGUGUGAUUCCACCUGGAGAGGGGCCUGCAUCCUAUUAGCUUGUUGGCGGGGUAACGGCCCACCAAGGCGACGAUGGGUAGCGGGUGUGAGAGCACGACCCGCGUCAUUGGGACUGAGACACUGCCCAGACACCUACGGGUGGCUGCAGUCGUGAAUCUUCGGCAAUGGGCGCAAGCCUGACCGAGCGACGCCGCGUGCGGGAUGAAGGCCUUCGGGUUGUAAACCGCUGUCGUAGAGGAGGAAAUGCAGGGGGGUUCUCCCCUCUGUUUGACCUAUUCUAGGAGGAAGUACGGGCUAAGUUCGUGCCAGCAGCCGCAGUAA
This 482-nucleotide ribosomal RNA is filed under the name uncultured bacterium. RNAcentral describes it as "partial 16S ribosomal RNA". It matches the Rfam family "Bacterial small subunit ribosomal RNA", at positions 28 to 523 of the family's 1533-position model. The record is from RNAcentral.